RNAcentral lists this ribosomal RNA (740 nucleotides) under Kocuria rosea. RNAcentral describes it as "bacterial SSU rRNA". It matches the Rfam family "Bacterial small subunit ribosomal RNA", at positions 752 to 1486 of the family's 1533-position model. Lineage: Bacteria; Bacillati; Actinomycetota; Actinomycetes; Micrococcales; Micrococcaceae. The record is from RNAcentral.
AGCGAAAGCAUGGGGAGCGAACAGGAUUAGAUACCCUGGUAGUCCAUGCCGUAAACGUUGGGCACUAGGUGUGGGGGACAUUCCACGUUUUCCGCGCCGUAGCUAACGCAUUAAGUGCCCCGCCUGGGGAGUACGGCCGCAAGGCUAAAACUCAAAGGAAUUGACGGGGGCCCGCACAAGCGGCGGAGCAUGCGGAUUAAUUCGAUGCAACGCGAAGAACCUUACCAAGGCUUGACAUUCACCGGACCGCCCCAGAGAUGGGGUUUCCCUUCGGGGCUGGUGGACAGGUGGUGCAUGGUUGUCGUCAGCUCGUGUCGUGAGAUGUUGGGUUAAGUCCCGCAACGAGCGCAACCCUCGUUCUAUGUUGCCAGCACGUGAUGGUGGGGACUCAUAGGAGACUGCCGGGGUCAACUCGGAGGAAGGUGGGGAUGACGUCAAAUCAUCAUGCCCCUUAUGUCUUGGGCUUCACGCAUGCUACAAUGGCCGGUACAAAGGGUUGCGAUACUGUGAGGUGGAGCUAAUCCCAAAAAGCCGGUCUCAGUUCGGAUUGAGGUCUGCAACUCGACCUCAUGAAGUCGGAGUCGCUAGUAAUCGCAGAUCAGCAACGCUGCGGUGAAUACGUUCCCGGGCCUUGUACACACCGCCCGUCAAGUCACGAAAGUUGGUAACACCCGAAGCCGGUGGCCUAACCCCUUGUGGGAGGGAGCCGUCGAAGGUGGGACUGGCGAUUGGGACUAAGU